AGAGGAAGUAAAAGUCGUAACAAGGUUUCCGUAGGUGAACCUGCGGAAGGAUCAUUAUUGAAAUAAACCUGAUGAGUUGCUGCUGGCUCUCUAGRGAGCAUGUGCACACUUGUCAUCUUUAUAUCUCCACCUGUGCACCUUUUGUAGAUCUGGAUAUCUCUCUGAGCGCUUAGCAACUCAGGUUUGAGGAUUGACUUUAUUGUCUCUCCUUACAUUUCCAGACCUAUGUUUCUUUAUAUACCCCAAUGUAUGUCAUAGAAUGUAAUUAAUGGGCCUUUGUGCCUAUAAAUCUAUACAACUUUCAGCAACGGAUCUCUUGGCUCUCGCAUCGAUGAAGAACGCAGCGAAAUGCGAUAAGUAAUGUGAAUUGCAGAAUUCAGUGAAUCAUCGAAUCUUUGAACGCACCUUGCGCUCCUUGGUAUUCUGAGGAGCAUGCCUGUUUGAGUGUCAUUAAUAUAUAUCAACCUCUACAACUUUUGUUUGUUGAGUUGUUGGAUGUGGGGGCUCUUGCUGGCUUCUCUGAGGUCAGCUCCCCUGAAAUACAUUAGCGGAACGAUCCCCGUUCAUUGGUGUGAUAACUAUCUACGCUAUUGACGUGAAGUAGUUUGGCUUAUAACAGUCCAUUGACUUGGACAAAUUUUCAUUAAUGUGACCUCAAAUCAGGUAGGACUACCCGCUGAACUUAAGCAUA
This 691-nucleotide ribosomal RNA is filed under the name Thaxterogaster herpeticus. RNAcentral's name for it is "eukaryotic LSU rRNA". The stretch from base 297 to 450 matches the Rfam family "5.8S ribosomal RNA". The record is from RNAcentral. Lineage: Eukaryota; Fungi; Basidiomycota; Agaricomycetes; Agaricales; Cortinariaceae.